CUCGCCGCCUGAAGACGUCUUGCCGGAGCACCGUCGGCGCCUUGGGAAGGCUGCAGCCUGGCUCUCCUCCCGCGCGCGCUGCGCUACGAGCCGUGAUUCAUUCUGCUCCUGAGUCAUGGGUAAAGGCUAGUCCAACAGAGGACGUUCAUUCUAAGGCUCUGGGAGCAUCUCGUGAGAACAACUGAUUUUGCAGAGAAAGUGCUCAGCACCGACAAGGGAUUUUGCCACCCCUGUAUUACAGGUACCAGCAGCUGAGCUUGCUAAGUCAAUAGACUGCUAAUAACAGGCCCUGCAGUUUGUCGUAAGGCUGAUAUGUUGUUUUUCGUGCCCAUCACGGUUGGGAAGGAGGACUCCUUUCCAGCGCAGCCUCACCGGAUGACCCCAUCCAUGGAUGGAGCUGCGUGCCGCAAAGCAAGGCGGAUGCCUCCGAGCGCUGGGCUCUCAGCGUGCAGGCGGUGCGGCUUAGCUUGCGCUUGGUGGAAGAUGGGCACAGCCUCCGUAUGUUCUUCCUGUUCUCCAUGUUUUCCAGCUUGAAAUGAAGUGUCUUUGGCAUUCAAGCUGUGUUCCAGAAUGCUUAAUCCUUUGAAUCCCGCUCUACAUCCGAUUCAGAGUUUUCUCUGGCUGCUCCUGUACAAUUUUAUCCAGUGGACAUGCAUAAGCCCCAAACAGAUAGUUUUACUGUUCAGCUUCAGUCUGGCAGGGAGAGGAUCGGUGCUCGGGGAGACCAGAGCUCCCCUCUGCCGAGAGAGAUGGGGCAAGGCUGGAGGUCACUGGGCGCUGUAAUUUGUGCUGUCCUUCCUCCUCGUUUCAAGACAGAUCAUUUUAAAAGUGCCAUCAUGCUAGAUGGCAUUUUUCUACAGUAUCCUCGAUAACUCCCUCCAUCGCCGGGGAAUGCACGUAUGGAAAGGCCACUGAGCGGGAUCACAAGCUACCGAACCAUGUUAUCUCCCUCCCUGCCUUUGAGAGAGGGGCAAAGAAAAGGCUUGGCCUGUACCAUGCAAUCGCUGAGCGCAAGGAGGGAGAUGCUAACCCCAGCGAAGAGGCGGCUGUAACAGCAGGAGGGCGAGCGCAACGUCCCAGAUGACCCUGUUUCACCCCAAGUUCCUACCUAGCUUGGUUAUGUACCUACAGUUUAAUAAAGAAAGUAUUUUCCCCGAUGGCUGUUUAGAUGCCCAGAGCUGCGGGGUGCGGUGCUAUCACCCACAUUUCCCUAAAUGACGGCUCGUCUUGCCCCGGAGACCCCAAAGCCCUAUGCAGUGCUUCCAGCUCCAACAGCCUCCUGCCAGUGCUCACGCAAGGGGCCACCUCCGCUCCGGCUCCUAGCCACCGGGCUGGAGCGGAUGGGUCGGGGGAAAGGAUCCGUGCACACGUCAUGUGUAGCAACAGAAAGUAAAAUCUGGGCUUGUGAAUAACGUAGUACAAGCAAUGUGGGCGUGCCGGCCUGGAAGCAGCAAUGGACGUGCUGGACAUGGACAUCAACGCAAAGAUUCCCACCGGAUACAGUAGGCCCUUGUGCCCAGGAGCCUUCUCCUUCUCCAGAGCACAGUGAACGCUCUCAGAGGCAAUUUUUUUUAGCCACUGCUGUGAGUGUUUUACUUCAUGUUUCCCUUGACAACACUGGCACUCUCUAACUGGAGAUAUCUUCUUACUUCUUGGAGACACUUUCAGUGUCUGGCUAGGAAACAAAGUAUAGAUAGGACGUUGAUUUGUGAGCUGUUUCCUCCUCAGAUUUGUCUUCAGUACGCUUAGGAAGAACAAGUCUGACCUUGGCUUAUCUUUUUUGAUCCCUUCUGUGUCUUUGACCCGAAAUGCCUGGUUACAGAAUAACUAAACAUUCAUUUUGCGAUUUUUUUUUUUUUUGCCAUGUACAAAAGCAGAGUUCAAAUUCAGCAGAAAAGCAAGAUCUGUGAGGUUUUUUUUUUUCCCUGAAAAAUGACCACACUGUUGCUUCCCCUCUGCAGUAAAAAUUUACAUCCAGAUAAAUCUUUCAUUAAAAUCCAUAUACACUGUG
Long non-coding RNA from Dromaius novaehollandiae (emu), 2011 nucleotides. RefSeq lists it as uncharacterized. The transcript is spliced from 2 exons. The record is from RefSeq and is a predicted model, not a curated record. Lineage: Eukaryota; Metazoa; Chordata; Aves; Casuariiformes; Dromaiidae.